UACUUUUUUAUUUUAGCAAUAAAGCAUUGAAAAGAUAUCUUGAUUUUAAGAUUACAGGGGCGUGAUGUGUCACGAUAGGAAAAAGGACAUAAAAACAUUGUUUGAUUUUUUCACUCCAUAAAGAAAACUUUUUUGUAGAAAAAAUUUAUAGUCAUCUAUAAAAAUAUAUAACGAACUGAAACAUCUCAGUAGUUAGAUAAAAAUCAACCGAGAUAUUGUGAGUAAUGGCGAGUAAAAACAAUAAAGGGUAUUACAAAAUGAAAGUUAAAAAGUUUAGAAUCCCAGAAGAAUUUAAUCUGUAAAUAUUUUUUUUCAUUUUGUAUUAGUAAAGCAAAACUAAUUUAUUUUGUUUUAAGAUUGGGGUUCCACCCUCAAAACUUAAAAUGUAUCUUAAAAAUCAAUAGUAAACUAGUACCGUAAGGGAAAGGAUGAAAGACUAGAACUUUUUGUAGAGUGAAAAAAGAGCUUAAAAUUCAAUGCUUAAUAUUAGUUGGUGCUGUAAAGUAACAGCUUACCUUUUGCAUAAUGAGUCAGUGAGUUUUUUUUAUAAGCAAGCUUAAAUGUUAAAUCUUAGGCUUAAAAAUUGAAUACAGUUUAUAAAAAAAGACCCGAAACUAAGUGAUCUAACUAUGAACAGGUUGAAAUUAGAAUGGUAACAUCUAUUGGAGGACCGAACCCGUAUAUGUUGAAGUAUGUUGGGAUGAUUUGUGGUUAGGGGUGAAAGGCUAAUCAAACUUAGAUAUAGCUGGUUUUUUGCGAAAUCUAUUUAAGUAGAGCGUUUUAUAAAAAAUAAUUUAGGGUAGAGCACUUUGUGAAUGCGGGAGAUUUUUUAAUCUUACUAAACUUACAAAAACUCCGAAUAUGAAAAAAUUUUUAUAAGCAGACGGACUAUGAGCGCUAAGGUUCAUUGUCAAAAGGGAAACAGCCCAGAUUGUUCGAUAAGGUCCUAAAAUAAUUCUUAGUAUAAAAGAAGUGGAGAAAUUUUAACACUUCAUUAGUAGGCUUGGAAGCAGCCGUCUAAUAGCACAAGCGUAACAGCUUGUGAGUUGAGUUUUUAGGUACUGCAAAUGUAAGGGUAUGUGAUUUGUACCGAAUCGACAAAUUUAUUAAUGGUAGCAAAAUAUCUUGUAUUGUAUAAUGCUUUUUGUUUUUAAUAAUAUACAGUUCGUAUCUAAUAAAUGUUAUUUUUAUUUAUAAAAUUUUUAUAGCGGUUUAUUUGAUUUUAAAAUAUAUACUUAGUUUUCUAAAAAAUGAAUUGUAUAAUCGUUAACAUUUUGUAUUAAAAGAUAUUUUGUAAAAAAUAUUUAAAAGAUCAAGAGUAAUAAUACUGACAUGAGUAGCGAUAAACAAUGAUAAUAAAAAAAAACAUUGUCGCCGUAAGCCUAAGGUUUUCUUGGUAACGUUAAACUACGAUGAAAUAAACGGACCUUAAGAAAAAAGCGUAAGCUUAAUUUAAAAGGAAUAAAGUUAAAAAGUGACAAAAGAUAAUUAAUGUAAAAAAGUAUUGGUUUUUUUUUGUAUUAUAAUCUUUUCAAGAAAAAGCUUAACAAGUUGUUUCAACUUAAUAAUUCCGUACUAUAAACCAACACAGGUGGGCAAGUUGAGCAAACUAAGGCGUUUGAGAGAAUUAUGGUAAAGGAACUCGGCAAAAUGACUCUGUAACUUCGGGAGAAGGAGUAACUAAAAGGGAGGAAUCCUUAAUAGUUGGCACAAAAUCGGGGGUAGCGACUGUUUACUAAAAACACAGGUCUCUGCUAAUUCGUAAGAAGAUGUAUAGGGACUGACACCUGCCCGGUGCUGUAAGAUUAAGGGGAGAGGUUUAGGCUUCAAACUUAAGUACCAGUAAACGGCGGCUGUAACUCUGACGGUCCAAAGGUAGCGAAAUUCCUUGUCGGGUAAGUUCCGACCUGCAUGAAUGGUGUAACGACUUCCUCGCUGUCUCUACCAUAAUCUUUGUGAAAUUGAAAGAUCUGUGCAGAUGCAGAUUAUCUACAGCUAGACGGAAAGACCCUGUGCACCUUUACUAUGUGUAUACACUGUAAACAAAAAAUUUUUGUCUAGUCUAGGUGGGAGUUUAAACCUUUUAAAGCUUUAAUCAAUUUUGGAAAACCACUCGUGAAUUUUUUUUUUGCUUAUUCAUUCUGAUGAUACUGUAUAUGAGGUAGUUUGACUGGGGCGGUCGCCUCCUAAAAAGUAACGGAGGCGCAUAUAAGGUAAGCUCAUUGGGUAAAUUCCUAAGUAGAGUGCAAUGGCAUAUGCUUACUUGAUUGUAAGAUUAACAAAUCAAACAGAAACGAAAGUUGGUCAUAGUGAUCCGGUAAUUUUGUGUGGAAAAAUUAUCGCUCAACGGAUAAAAGGUACGCCGGGGAUAACAGGCUAAUGACUCUUAAGAGUCCCUAUCGACGGAGUCGUUUGGCACCUCGAUGUCGGCUCUGCAUGUCCUGGAGCUGAAGGCGGUUUCAAGGGUUCGGCUGUUCGCCGAUGAAGAUGCUACGUGAGCUGGGUUUAGAACGUCGUGAGACAGUUCGGUCCCUAUCUGCUGUAGACGUUAGAAAAAUUGAGAGACUUAAACCCUAGUACGAGAGGACCGGGAAAAGUGAAUCACUGGUAAACUGGUUGUUUUGCCUAAAGCACUGCCAGAACGCUAAAUUCAUAAAUGAUAAUUGAUGAAAGCAUAUAAAUAAGAAUCAUAUCUCAAGAUUAAUUUUCUUUUAAAAUGUUAUAUACUAUAACAUGUAUAGGCCUUUGGUUUAAAAUUUUUAAAUGUUAGCCAAAAGGUAACUAAUAAUUUAUUGAAAUAAUAAACAAAA
RNAcentral lists this ribosomal RNA (2810 nucleotides) under Vischeria punctata. RNAcentral's name for it is "large subunit ribosomal RNA". It matches the Rfam family "Bacterial large subunit ribosomal RNA". Lineage: Eukaryota; Eustigmatophyceae; Eustigmatales; Chlorobotryaceae. The record is from RNAcentral.